This 291-nucleotide ribosomal RNA is filed under the name Arenicellales bacterium. Its description in RNAcentral is "partial 16S ribosomal RNA". It matches the Rfam family "Bacterial small subunit ribosomal RNA", at positions 1 to 220 of the family's 1533-position model. The record is from RNAcentral. Lineage: Bacteria; Pseudomonadati; Pseudomonadota; Gammaproteobacteria; Arenicellales.
GAACUGGAGAGUUUGAUCCUGGCUCAGAUUGAACGCUGGCGGUAGGCCUAACACAUGCAAGUCGAACGGUAACGGACCGCUGGGAUUCCUUCGGGAUGACCUUGGUGCCGACGAGUGGCGGACGGGUGAGUAACACGUAGGAAUCUGCCAAACAGUGGGGGACAACCCGGAGAAAUCGGUAUAUCACCAUAUUUCUGGUGUGGUGAGUUGAAUACAUCAAAAAAUUCAGCACGUUUGACCCCUUGAAUUCCCAUAUGGCACGUACACGCCUGUUGCCGGCAGCAAAUUCAU